AUUGAACGCUGGCGGCAGGCCUAACACAUGCAAGUCGAGCGGAUGAAGGGAGCUUGCUCCUGGAUUCAGCGGCGGACGGGUGAGUAAUGCCUAGGAAUCUGCCUGGUAGUGGGGGAUAACGUCCGGAAACGGGCGCUAAUACCGCAUACGUCCUGAGGCAGAAAGUGGGGGAUCUUCGGACCUCACGCUCUCAGAUGCGCCUAGGUCGGAUUAGCUAGUUGGUGGGGUAAAGGCCUACCAAGGCGACGAUCCGUAACUGGUCUGAGAGGAUGAUCAGUCACACUGGAACUGAGACACGGUCCAGACUCCUACGGGAGGCAGCAGUGGGGAAUAUUGGACAAUGGGCGAAAGCCUGAUCCAGCCAUGCCGCGUGUGUGAAGAAGGUCUUCGGAUUGUAAAGCACUUUAAGUUGGGAGGAAGGGCAGUAAGUUAAUACCUUGCUGUUUUGACGUUACCAACAGAAUAAGCACCGGCUAACUUCGUG
Molecule: ribosomal RNA, 484 nt
Filed under: uncultured bacterium
Lineage: Bacteria
Description: partial 16S ribosomal RNA
Rfam family: Bacterial small subunit ribosomal RNA
Source: RNAcentral